This is a non-coding RNA of Arthrobotrys conoides, 99 nucleotides long. The record is from the annotation of a GenBank genome assembly. Lineage: Eukaryota; Fungi; Ascomycota; Orbiliomycetes; Orbiliales; Orbiliaceae.
UCCGAUAUGGUGUAGUGGUUAACAUCGUCCGCUUUCAACUAAGAGCUUCUGCUCUUAAGAUGGUCCGGACAGCCCCGGGUUCGAUUCCCGGUAUCGGAA